RNAcentral lists this ribosomal RNA (497 nucleotides) under uncultured bacterium. Its description in RNAcentral is "partial 16S ribosomal RNA". It matches the Rfam family "Bacterial small subunit ribosomal RNA", at positions 28 to 507 of the family's 1533-position model. The record is from RNAcentral.
GAUGAACGCUGGCGGCGUGCCUAAUACAUGCAAGUCGAGCGAACAGACGAGGAGCUUGCUCCUUUGACGUUAGCGGCGGACGGGUGAGUAACACGUGGAUAACCUACCUAUAAGACUGGGAUAACUUCGGGAAACCGGAGCUAAUACCGGAUAACAUGUUGAACCGCAUGGUUCAACAGUGAAAGACGGUCUUGCUGUCACUUAUAGAUGGAUCCGCGCCGCAUUAGCUAGUUGGUAAGGUAACGGCUUACCAAGGCAACGAUGCGUAGCCGACCUGAGAGGGGGAUCGGCCAACCUGGAACUGAGACACGGUCCAGACGCCUAAGGGAGGCAGCAGUAGGGAAUCUUCCGCAAUGGGCGGAAACCUGACGGAGCAACGCCGCGUGAGUGAAGAAGGUCUUCGGAUCGUAAAACCCUGUUAUUAGGGAAGAACAAAUGUGUAAGUAACUAUGCACGUCUUGACGGUACCUAAUCAGAAAGCCACGGCUAACUACGUG